Molecule: ribosomal RNA, 478 nt
Filed under: uncultured bacterium
Lineage: Bacteria
Description: partial 16S ribosomal RNA
Rfam family: Bacterial small subunit ribosomal RNA
Source: RNAcentral
GACGAACGCUGGCGGCGUGCUUAACACAUGCAAGUCGAACGGUAAGGCCCUUCGGGGUACACGAGUGGCGAACGGGUGAGUAACACGUGGGUGAUCUGCCCUGCACUUCGGGAUAAGCCUGGGAAACUGGGUCUAAUACCGGAUAGGACCACGGACUUCACGGUUUGUGGUGGAAAGCUUUUGCGGUGUGGGAUGGGCCCGCGGCCUAUCAGCUUGUUGGUGGGGUAAUGGCCUACCAAGGCGACGACGGGUAGCCGGCCUGAGAGGGUGUCCGGCCACACUGGGACUGAGAUACGGCCCAGACUCCUACGGGAGGCAGCAGUGGGGAAUAUUGCACAAUGGGCGCAAGCCUGAUGCAGCGACGCCGCGUGGGGGAUGACGGCCUUCGGGUUGUAAACCUCUUUCAGUAGGGACGAAGCGCAAGUGACGGUACCUACAGAAGAAGCACCGGCCAACUACGUGCCAGCAGCCGCAGUAA